UGGGGGAUAUUGCACAAUGGGCGAAAGCCUGAUGCAGCGACGCCGCGUGGGGGAUGAAGGCCUUCGGGUUGUAAACUUCUUUUGCUCUGAACAAGGCAUGAUAAUGGGUGUGUUGAGUGUAGGGGUUGAUUAGCGCCGGCUAACUACGUGCCAGCAGCCGCGGUAAUACGUAGGGCGCGAGCGUUGUCCGGAAUUAUUGGGCGUAAAGGGCUUGUAGGUGGCUGGUUGCGUCUGUCGUGAAAGCUCAUGGCUUAACUGUGGGUUUGCGGUGGGUACGGGCUGGCUUGAGUGCAGUAGGGGAGGCUGGAAUUCCUGGUGUAGCGGUGGAAUGCGCAGAUAUCAGGAGGAAUACCGGUGGCGAAGGCGGGUCUCUGGGCUGUUACUGACACUGAGGAGCGAAAGCAUGGGGAGCGAACAGG
RNAcentral lists this ribosomal RNA (419 nucleotides) under bacterium. Its description in RNAcentral is "partial 16S ribosomal RNA". It matches the Rfam family "Bacterial small subunit ribosomal RNA", at positions 355 to 776 of the family's 1533-position model. The record is from RNAcentral.